UGAGGCUGUUCUGCAAGGGCGCGGGCCUGGCUGGUGUUGUUUCUAGGCAGAGGCUGGAACCUGUGUCUCUUGUUUUGAUAAAGCUUUGCUGUCAGAGUUUGAGCAAUAGGUGUGGAUAUCUUGAAGCAAGAUAGUGGCCAAGUCCUCAUCUAGGAAGCAGAGAGCUAAGCUGAAGAGGAAAUUUGCAACCAAGGGAAACAACCAGCAGGGACCAGAUCAGAAAAAGGUGGAAAAACAUAACCCAGAGGCACACUUUGCUUUGUUUAGAACACAUUUUCCUGUGAACCCCAAAAGCUGUGCCAGGUGUGUGAUGAGCAGCCGUGGACGGCGGAGCCCACCUGGGGCCUGCUUCCCACUCCCUCCCUGCUCUGCUCUCAGGUGUCAUCUUGGAGCUGGCGCUGCCAGGUCACAUGGUCCUGUGCACCCUGUACUGUUGGAGGUUAGCACGUGUCCAGCCCACUUUACCCAGGAUCUCUCAAUGGCCGUGAAGCCUUCUGCACUGUCCCGUUAAUCCUCAGGUGCUCUCUGGUUCUGGCCUCAUUGAGAGGCCACGGGUUCAUUUCUCCUAAGAUGUCUUCCAGCCAGUGUAUUCUCUGACCUGGGGCUUGGUCUCAAGGCCUCCGGCUCACAGAGACCUAGCCGGGGACAGCCCUGGCUCUGGGCAAGGACAGGAGAGAACCCCAGAGGCAUGCACACAGUUUUUGGGUAUGUGGGUGCCAGCUGAGGUCCCAGCCGGGUUUCCUAGGAAGUCCAAGUAUCACAUCCCACACCUUGGGUGGAAGGGAAAGAGGACAGAGGUGGGUCAGUUGGGUGAGGGGCUCCCAGGGACCCAGGUCCAGAGGGUGAGUGGACUUUUAUCCCUUUCAGGGACUGGAGGAUCAAAGUGCAAAAGAUCCCAAAACUUCCUGUCACCAUACCUCACUAAUUAGGCAACUCCUGGCAAUUCGACUUUGGACUUUGCUCUUGAAAAGAAAAUCCUGGUAGAUCCAGGAACUCGGCAAGACGUCAGCGUUUGCUCAGGGGUUGAGGUCCCCUGAACCAUCUAGGUCACCUGCCCCAGACUGGUGGUUAGUCAUGGCCUGAUAAUAACAAGAGAGUACGUCAAGCUUCACGUGUGCUUUGGCAUUCAGUGCUCAUAUCUGUGUGUCUUGCCGUGACCUCGAGGAUGAGCAACGGUGGCCUACUAGGUGCUCACCUUCGAGCACCUGCUGCCCUCCUGCCCCUGUUCCAUGCACGGUCGACGCAUCUUCUCUCUCAAUGCUCACUGUAGCCGUGAGUGAUGCAGCUGUCACAUCAGGAGUGGACCAGGCUCCCGCAGGAUGGGGAACAGGCCUGCCCACAGGGCUCAGGGGGCCACCAUCUUCCCAGGCCAUGGAACAGGGAGAGACCAGGUUAUCUGGCACCUGGACUCCCAUCUGGAGCUUGAUGCAAGUGCCCCCAGCAGAGGUAGAAGGUGAAAGGAGCUGGCCUCAGAUGGCCCCUGUGACCACUGCCUUGUUGCCCACCCAGCGUUGCUCUCUCUUGGGAAGAUGGUGUCACCUACCUUGGCCCCAGUCUGUGGGUUCAGGGUGAAGACCCCUGUGUAUCCAGCUGCUCAGCUGAGAGGACUGUUAUGAACAGGGUGCAGGGCAGGAGGGGGCAGGGACCUCUUCCAGGGCUGCUGCAGGCCCCGCUGUGCUGGAGAAACUGGAGAGGACCGUGGCUCCAGGUGAGCGCUGGGUGGGCGAAGGUGGCUGUGGCAGCAGCAAAUGGCAGGGUGAGGGCUGAAGAGCAAGGAGCAGUAGAGUGCCAGAUAAGGGACCCUCGCCCAGGGGUGCAGGCAGGAGCAUGUCCCGCUGAAGGCAAAAGCUGCAGGAGGGUGAACCCAUGUUGUCCCAUGUCCCCAGGUGGCAGCCGUGUUGCUGAGGACACCGUGUAGGGGAGCACCACCUCCUCCCAGGCCACCUGCCCACUGAGGUGCAGACACACUCCUGAUUUCCUCUGAGACAGGGUAAAGCGUGGGUUGUUAGGACAUUUCUUAAUUGCAGGGAGACUACAUGGCAAACUCCUAGAGGCAAGUAUGUGGCUCUGUGUCCUGGUGAUGGUGACGGGGACUAGGCUGCCUGGGGCAGCGGGCCUCGGUGCCUACGGCUCUAUUCUGGAUGUUCUGCGAGUGCGCUUACUGCGAGGUCAUGGAGGAGAGCGGCUGGCAGGACAGAAACGAUCCCGGUAGAGUUUUUCAGGGUUAGAAGGAACGGAGGUCCCAGAAGGUUGAGUGGAAACUGCAUCUGGUGUGGAGGAGGGUCCGGAUCCACCCUCAUGUCUGACAGCUCCAUGCCUGGGGUGGGGAGCACCCGUGCUUGACCAGGUGUGAGUCAACUUGGGGACGUGGUUCCUGCAGGGAGGGGCAGCAGGCAGCAAGUAGGUGGCCUUGGGGGUCCAUGCUAGGAGCCUCUGCUGGAGGUCUUGGGAGACCGCUGCCUGCUCCCAGGGGAGUGGCAGUUCUCUGUGGUCUGAGUCCCAGGUGACACCCGCCUAGGAGGAUGAAGGGUGCUGGGAGGGAAUUCCCUGUGUAUCUUCUCCCACCAGGUCCCAGGGAAAAUGCCCAGGGAGUAGUGAGCAUGAAGGUGAGGGAGGAGGAGGCGAGCUGCCCAGGAAAGUCAGAAGUGAGGGCUAUGCCAGGCGGAGGCACAAAGGGAGUCCCGUGGCCAGGCAGACAGGAGAUGGGAGGCCGAGAGGGAGGCCAGCGGGCUCCAGGACAAAGAGGGUGGGAAGAAGUGUGAGGCAGGAAGUGCUUCAGGCUCUCAGGUGGGGAAAGGCUGCCUGCUCUGCAGAGGAGCCUGGAAACCAGUAACAGGAUAUGGAGGGGCCAGGAGAGGAAGGCCUGCCUUCCUCAGGGAGGGAACAAUGGCCAUUCUUCCAUUGAAGGCUGACAUGCCCUGAGAGAGGAAGGGCCUGCCAGGAGGGAGGGCCAGUCAGGGGACAGGAAGGAAGGGGCCAGAGCCUGCACCGACCAGAGGAAGGCCAGAGGCCCCUGCAUUGCAUUUGGAACUCAAUACACCCGCCUCCAGAGCACCAGGCAGCCGGCAAGGUCCCCAUGGCCAUGGCGUCACUGCUGUGGCUUUCCCAGGAGCCCUGCCCCUGCUCUUCCCUCCCCUUGGCCUCUUCCAGGACCCCAGGUUCCAGCCUUGCUAGGGCAUCCUGAGGCUGGUCGAGGCCAGGGUCUCCCACACCACCUGCUGGGUUCUGAGACUUCCCAUCUACACACACGGGAAGAAGGAGCUCCCAGCAUAAUAAAGGAAUCGGGCCAAAGUAAUCAAGGCCCCCAUCCCCCCAAGGCGCCCGUUUCCAGGACAAUCAGGGCCGCCCACUGAACAACACUUGCUCAGUACAAAGGAAGUGCAUGACGGGUCCAGGGGAAACGUCUGAUUGUUGGGCACACAACAAUGGACGGGUGGACUGAAUGGCACUCACAUGUGAGGUUGCUGUGCCGAGCAGCCCUUCGGAAUCCUAGAGAGCACCGUGGAGUGGCAUGGGGCGCUCCCACUGAGGACUGAGAGGUGUGGCCUUCACACUCAGUCCUUCCCUUGGGGCUGCGCUCUGUGGGAGUGACUCACACACUUCAUGCCUCACCUGCCUUGGCCUGGUUCCCCAUCCCCUCGACAGGAGGUGGGCCCUUUGUCAACAGCAGCGGGUGGCACCAUGGACUUCAUUUGGCAUGAGAUGAGGAUCAGGGGGCCAAGGUAGCUGAGAGGAGGAAGCAAAAGAAGGGCUAGGGGACCUCAGGGAAAGCAGGCCUGUCAUUUGCCAAGGACUGGAUGUUUGUGACCCCUUCGCCCCAACCCCCAGUGUGACUGUAUUUGGAGAAAGGGCCUUUGUCAUGAUGCUCAAGGAUAAAGGAGGUCAUUAGGGUGAGCCCCGAUCCAAUAGAAUUAGUGCCCUUCUGAGAAGGGACAGAGAGAGCUCUCUCUCUCCACUAAGCAAGGACUGAGGGAGAAGGUGGCCCUUUGUGAGCAGGGAAGGAGGUCCUCACUAGGAACCAGCAAGCCAGCGCUGUGGUCUCUGCUUCCAGUCUCCAGACCCACAGUGUCCCAAGUAGCUGGGAUGUGGUUGUUGUGCCUGCCCUGGGGGACUUCAAACCUGAAAGACUGAAGAGAUGAAACUCUCACUGCAUGUUCUCACUUCCAGGUGGGAGCUGGAAGGUGGUCUCAGAAGUGGAGGGCAGAGUAGUGGCUGUGGCAUCUGGGGACAUGCUGGGGAGGAGGAACAUGGAGAGGGUAGUUCCUGGGUAUAGGCACGCAGCCCUAGGGGAGGAACGACUUCUAGAUUCCAAAGCAGGUAGGUAACUAUUGUUGGUAGCAAUGUAUGGAACGUUUCAAAAUGGCUAGUAAAGAAAGAUUUUGAAUGUUCCUGACACAAAGAAAUGAUCAAUGUUUCCGGUGACAGACAUGCCAAACACCCUGACCUGCACCUUCCACACUGAGGAUGUUGAAAUAUCACCCUGCACCUGGUAAUCAUGUACAAUUACUAGGUGACAAUUAAAACUAUUUUACAAGAAGGGUCAGGAAGUUUCAGGGGAAAAAGGUCCUUCAAGGCCAUCUGAGACAUUGCCUGUCCAGUUGACAGCAGCCCUCCCAAGGCCCACAGAGCCUCCCCAGUCCACUCAGCGUGUUGUGCUGACUUGGUCUUGUUGGCACAGGCGGAGGAGCAGAGGCUCCGGACACCUGCACCCUUCUCAAGGCUUCGCCCUGUCUCUAUGGGGCCCCUCACCUGCAGGCGUCAGUGGGUGCCACUCCAUCCCGGUCACCAGUAGGGGCUGUGUCUUCUGGCCGGUGGUCAACAGCAGGAGAGGUCAGCUCUUCAUGAACCAGGCCCAUCUUCAUGCAAAUGUGUCUGGGAAUAGCAGGGAGCAGAACUGCAGGGUAUUUGUGGCGGAGAGAAGUGGGGCUGCUGGGGAACAGAUGCUUUAUUGGGCUCCUGUGGAGCACCAGCUGCUCCUCUAAUGUGUCCACUUCAGGCUUUCAGUGGGGAGCGACUGCUCCAUAAGUAGCAGGCAUAUGAGCCAGGCAUGGUGGCCACGCCUGACAUCCCGGUGACUCGGAGGCCGAGGCAGGAGGAUGGCAAGUUCCAGGCCAGCCUCGGCAACCUAGGGAGACCUUGUCAUGGGAUAAAAGUUGAAAGGGCUGGGUGCAGCUCUUGGUAGGUUGCCCUGCAGUCUCCAGUGCUGCGGCACGAGGAACAGGCACGGAGCAGGGUGUCACUGUGCCUGGGGACCUGCCAGAGCCCACAUGCCUCUCCCAGUGACACCUUUGUGCCUGGCCCUGGGCGCCUUCUCAUUUUCUCUAAGUUUUAUAAUCUUUUCCUUUUUUCUUUACUUUCUAUUUUGGAGAAAAGUCCUACCUCAGGAAAGUUGCAAGACUAUUUAGAGGCGCAGGUUUCCUCCUCUUCUGGGCAGAGACAUUACUGGUAGCUUUGUCUGGGCAGCUUGAGGUCCAGCUGUAGGCAUUGCAGCCCCCAGGUAACUCCAUGCUCUCUUCACCUGCAAUCCUGUCGUCUCUUCGGGGCCCAUAGUUAUGGCUGCCCAGAUGUCCCAGGGCCACGAUUGCCCCAGGGGAUUUGCUUAUCUUGUCUCUUUAGCCCUCUUUAUCUGGAACAAUCAGUAGCCUUUCCUGGAAGUUCACAGCACUGAUUCUGGGAUUGUGCGGAUCUGAAGAGGGAAGCAGAGUAGCGGGACUGCCAAGAGUGACCAGUGGACAUUUGUGGGGAGCACGGGUCAGGCUCAGGAGGGGGCUUGGGGCUAGGAAGGAGGUGUGGACAUAAGGCCACAGGGAAUGACUGUUGGAGAGGUCUGAGGAGGGCCACUGCUCCCAUCCAUGGGCUAGGCCUGAGCGUGGCCAGCAGGUAGGCAGCUGGGGUGGGGAGGACAGAGCAAGGUAGUGCUAAUGGAACUACAGUGGCCAUGUCUGUCACAAGAGAUAUUGGUGACCUCCACAGGGAGCUGCCCUGUGCCUGGGCUGUCCCUUGGAUGAGGUGAAGGAGGAGUCAGGAGUCCUGGUGUGGAGGUGCCCAGCAGCGGGUGGUGUGAGCGUCUGCAGAGCCUGUGCCCCUCUUGUGCACACAUCCGCCUUGGUUGCACGAGCCCUUGUGCAUCCCACAAACGCCUCUGCACUCCUGUGAGGGAUCUGGUGGGAGCAGGAUGGUGGACGCAGGCAUGACAGCACUCCAGGCCGCAGCCCUGGCUCUGCCCCAUGGCACCCAUCCCACCUGCUCCUGGUGACUUUUCCCUGUGAGCCUGCAAGCUUCCCAGGGAGGACAGGCCCAGUCUGUCCACUGUGGCAUGUCACUAGAACUGCCUGGAGCCUGGCAUGGAGUCCUCACAACUGACAGAAGAGGUGAACCCGGCUCUGCUCUUUCAAAGCCGCUGAAGUUCUCCCUGGAGAUGACCUGGACAGUUAGGUUCCCACUUGAGACACUGCUGAGUCCAACCACCUUCAAUGGUGAUGUUGUCUCAGGAUAGACUGUUCUAAUAAAGGGGGGGAUUCAAUUCCAAGUACAGAUGACCCAGUAUAAUCCAAAAUAUCAUGAGAGGAGUUUAUUUCCUCACAUAGACCAAGUCCAGAGCAGCCACUAAGCCCUCGGGGACCUGGCUCCUUCCAUACACUGCUCUGCCCAUCCUUGGGUGUGGUCUCAUCCUCUUGUGCCAGGCUUUCAGUGGGGAGCGACUGCUCCAUAAGUAGCAGGCAUAUGAGCCAGGCAUGGUGGCCACGCCUGUCAUUCCAGUGACUCGGAGGCCGAGGCAGGAGGAUGGCAAGUUCCAGGCCAGCCUUGGCAACCUAGGGAAACCAAGAAGGAGACUCCACAUUUCAGGCCAGUGGGAGGGGGGUGACAAAGAAGCAGCUCAACAUGCAGCCACAGGACCUUCUGUGUAUACCCCACCAUCUGUUAGCUUCUCCCGUGGUGCAAAGGAGGCUGGGAAUGCCAUCUUUUCUCUGGGUGGCAUGUGCCCAGGGAAAAGGCCUUGCUCUGGGGAGCAGUGGUCUGGCUUUGUCUGGCCACCAGCAGUCCUUGCCAUAGCUGAUUUGGGGAAGGCCUGGUGUGUCUUUCUUCUUACUCCCUCUUGUGCAGAAUGGGAUGGUGACCAGAGGCUUGGGCCUGGCACUCUUGGGACAGGGGUGAGGCUGGUCCACCUUAGCUUUUGCUAGAAGUGGGGCCAGUUGGUGGUGGUGCAUUGUGAUUGGCUUCCUCGUGUUAAGUGGCACCAGGCAGUCCAUGAUGCAGGGAAAAGGGCAGGCAUCACCUAAAUGCCUGGAAAAACCCAAACCAAAUCAGCAGCAACCACCCCAAACCCGAGAAAGCUGGUUACGACCUAGGGGCCAAGGGGGGAAGGGAGGAGACCCGCAGCAGGGCCAUGAGUCCGUCAUGGCGACUCUCUGGCCUAGUCUGUGGCGAUGUGAUUGAAGAGUGCAUUUACUAUCAGUGGAUUUUAAAUCUCCUUUUAAAAGCGUGAGUCUCAAGGGAGUGUGUCAGAGGCGGGCAGCUGCUCCCCAGAGGGCAGUUUCCAACUUACUGUGGCUGAGCCUAUUUUGUUUUAUUAAAGAAGGCCAGCUGAACCUGCCUCUGUUCUCAUGCUGUGGACUCAGAAUGCAGAAAGCAGAGCUGCCUCUGCAGAGCCCAGCCAGUAGGAUGCCAACGAGGGACCAUCCUCGCUCUGAGCCCUCACUGCCUUCUGGACUCCAGGUGGACCCUGAGGGUGGGGGAAGCAAAGGCUGUGGGUAAAGGAGGGGCAACGUGCUCCUGUUUGAGCAGAUUCCACCUGAAGAUGAAACGCUUGUAUUCAUUCAAGGCCCCUCCGUCCCCGGCCUGGACGCUCCGUUUCGGCCAUUGCACAGGACCUCCAUGCAUGAGUAUGUGCCCAUAGGCUGGGCCUCGCAGGGCUGGAGCUGGUUUUUAGCUGUGUCUGCUUCUGUCUAAGCCCUUACGUGUGCGGUGGGCCAGAGAGGCAAUGUAGGACACUGCGUAAAUCCACCGGGGAGUGAACAAAUCCAAAGCCAGGGCAGCCGCUGAUGUGCAGGGCACACUGCAUUCUAGUCCUGGGCACCCAGGCCUCAGGCAUCCAAGGCAGCCAUAGAAGGCAGGGCUGUGUUCUCGCCUCUGGGGUGAAGGGAGGGAGCUGGGAGACUCUGAGUGACUUGUCUGCUGGUCCCUGUGUGAUGGAGGUGGGAUCAGGAUGGGGCAGUCUAGAGCGGGGCAGCUGGCAUCAUCACCGCCAGUGGAUGCUUGUGCAGGACAGGAAGGUGCUCCCUGGUACAGGCGGGGAGCCCUGGGCUUGGAUGGGAGUACAGAGCAAUGCCCCACAUAGUUCCCCCCACACGCCACAAGCCAGCCAGUGGGGUCAGCCGCCCUCCCUUUAAACAUGGUCACUGUGGAUGGCGAAGAUCCUCAGCUGGCUCAGCCCCUGCUCUUCUGUAUCUUGCUUUUGCCAAGGCAAUAGUAGCCCUUUGGCUUUGGGUCUGAGUGAAGAUGCACCUCCUCAGAGGGGGUCUCCUGUCCCAAGCUCUUUGCUGUGAGGCCACAUCACCAGCAUUACUCAGGUCACUUUGACCUGCCAGCUUUUUUAUGUCUGUUUACCAAGCCCUAGAGAGGAGGAGCCACGGUUGGACUCUUCCCUCAUGUGGCACUGACAUGACCAUGAACUGCAGCAUGGUUUCUCUGGUCUCUUGGCAACCCGCCGGCUGCCCUGGUACCACUGGGCUGUGGACAUGGCAGGUGUGUUCCUUGGGAGAUCAUCAGUCUAGUGGUAGCAAUGGGAGGGCCCCAGUGACACUGUGAUCUCCAUCCACCUUGGGAGUAGCCGAUGGGGUCCAUUGAGGUGAGCUGAAGCAGGGAGCAGGUGAUGCGUGGAUGAAGCUUGGGCUUCUGGAGGCAAGGGACACACAAGGAAGGGGACAGUCCAGCCACAGUAGGCAAGGAGGUCCAGGCUGUGGUGCCGGGUCUGUGAGUGUGUUCAGUCCCGUGGGGAUCUGCAUUCAGUGUGCCUGUCUAGCUUGACUCCAUUGGUAGCCUUGAGCAAGUGUCUUACCUAGCACUGGGAGCCUGGCCUGUGUCCUGACUGUGGCUUCCUGGGCUUCCAUGACCCAGCCCCUGAGCAGUUGCUGGUCCUCUUGAUGGCCUGGCUCCAACACUUGGAGCCUAGUCAUUGGUGCUGUCCUUCAGUCCUAGACCUUUCCCAACCCUCGCCCCCAUCUGUCCUCCGAUUGCCCCCGGCUCCCUGGACUGAGCCUCCUCCAGUUUUUCUCGGUCACUACCCUGUCUCAUGAAGGGUCCUGCCCAGCCUGGGCUCCUGUGGCCUGGUGUCUGCUGAAUUGCACUGAGCCUGGCAGUGGGAAACAGAUUGAUGAUCGCACAUCUUCCAGGCCCAGGAAGCAGAACCAGCCAUGUUCGUUUUGCUACAGAGGAGGGUAGUGUAGCGUGGAGCCCAGGGCUCACUCGCUAUGUGCUGUUUUGAAUCUGAGUUAGAGUCAAAUUUGUCUCUGAUUAUCUGGGUGAACUCCUUAACUAUUUGUUUGUAAUACCACCAACUAUUUCCAGAUGUUAGCGCAGCAUGUAUACCGUGCCACUGAGGGUGGAGGGGUUAGUGCUGAAACCAUUUUUAAUAUAAGAAAAAUGCAUAUGGAGAAAUUAAAUCCCCUACUAAAGAUCCGGCAUUGUUUACCCACCACAGGUUUUUUCUUGGCUGGAACACAUCUGUCUCCCUCUUAUUCCAGCUGCUCCCGCCAGCUCCAAACACUGGGAUUACCCGAUUCCUCUCUGGUGGUUCAGUGAUCUGGCAUCUAGAGACCAGCAAAGGCAAUUUCAGAGUUCUACUAACUCCCAUUUGGAAAUAAGUGAUAGUCUCAUGGGGUCACCAUGAAGAUGAAGGGGGGCAGCAGACAGAAAGCACCUGCGAUGGCACCUGGCUCCUGCUCAAGUUUUGGUGAAGACCAGUUUGUCUUUCUCCUUAGGAAGACCCAUUUUCUCAACACCUGCACUAGAGACCUUGCUGCCUCUGAUGUGGGCUUAUCUAUGGCUGAUCCAGAGUCCAGAGAUUGGGUAGAAAGAACAGGCUUGUGGAGCUGGGAAGACAUGUGUGUGAAUCCUGGUUUGUGUCUUCCUCCCCGGUGGCCUUAGGUGCAGCAGCUUGGCUGAGUGUCAGGGCCUUCAUUUGUAAAUGGAGAACGUCCUGCUGAGAACACGGGCCAAUGGUGAAGUAUUGCACAGAGAUUGCUGUUAUCACUGUGUCUGCCACCAAUUUUGGUAGUAAUUUGUCACCAGAGCAUCGUAUUCUCAGGUAUCUUCAUGGGUGCUAUGAAACUGCUGUAUUGUGAUGCCAAUCAUUCAUUUAUUCAUCUAACUAAUAUGUAUUGUGUGCUUGCUCUGCGACAGGCACUAUUCCAUGUGUUGGGAAUGCAAGAGUCAGCAGGGUAAGCCUCAGUCCAAUGGGUGUCACAUUCUGGUGAGAGGGACAGACAAGAAACCCAUAGGUCAUGGAAGUCUCUGUAGGUGUAACAGGGGCUCAGAGAUGAGUUCGUUGGAGAGACUCACAGUCUGGCUGGCAUACCCAGGCUGGCAGUGAGACAGCAGUUCCUGGUCUUCUCGACCAUUCAGCUUGUUCCUGGCGGGGUCUUUGUAGUGCCCAGCCUUGAGCAGCCUCCCUUUUUGACCCUAGGGCCUUCUUCUUCCCCUCCAGCCCUUUCCUGCACAGGCUCAGGGGCCUUCAUUGCACUUUGGCCCCUGACUCCCAAUCUACUCUCUUCCUGGAGAAGGAGGUUCCCGGAGCUUUGAGAGGAAUGUUUAGCUGCUCUCCAGAAGCAGCUCAGGAAGCUAGAUCAUGCUUCUGGCUGUUAAGAAGCACUUUCUAGAGGAUGGCCAUUCUCCACCCCCAGAUGGCUCCCUCACACCCCUGGCCAUGCUGACUCUCGAGGCCUUGUUCCACCGAGGUGUGGAGCUACCACCAUUGGGGCAGCCUGGUAUCUCCCCGCUUUUCUCCACCUACUAGAUUCUACCUACCUAUGACGUCCACCUCAGCAGUAGAGAACGUGAGCUGAUUCCCCAUAUCUCUGAUUCUGGUGGUCCAAAAGCCCUGAGGUUUUGUUGGACACACAGCUAAAAGUGAGGUCUUCUUCUCUGCCUGGUGGACCAUGUGACUGGGGACUCCUUCCUUCCUUCCUUCCUUCCUUCCUUCCUUCCUUCCUUCCUUCCUUCCUUCCUUCCUUCCUUCCUUCCUUCCCUCCUUCCUUUCUUUACCGGGGAUUGAAUUCAGGGGCACUCACCACUGAGCCACAUCUCCAGCCCUAUUUAGAGAAAGGAUCUCACUGAGUUGCUUAGCGCCUUGCUUCUGCUGAGGCUGGCUUUGAACUCACAAUCCUCCUGCCUCAGCCUCCUGAGCUUCUGGGAUUACAGGUGUGCACCACCACGCCCAGCCUCCCCCUGCCUUUCUGGCUGGUAUGGCUGUGCAGUUGGUGUCAGGACUUGGUUUCUUGGCAGAGUAACUAGUUGGAAGGUGCCUGGUCCUGGAGUUGGUGCAGCUUGCCCCACAGUCCUGGACCAUGGGUGCUUGUGUAAUCAUCUCAGAGAAGCUGUGGAUCUCCCUCUCAAAAGCCGCCGUUAUUUGGGUUAUAGGUCAGGUUAGAGACCCCAACUUGAGAUCCGGGACAUUCUUUCUGCUCUGUGAAGUCCUCCCAACCUGUCUCUCCAAAAUAUCUCCAAGGAAUGUGAUUCUGCCUCAGUGAAAGUGGUUCUGUGUCUCUGUAGGAGCAGACAAACCCUGGACAAGGCAAGCCCAGGAGCAGGAGCCUGUCUGCCCGAGAGCCAGCAAGGCCCCCUGACUUCAUCCUGGUGCUUUGUGAGUGUCUGCCGGCAAAUCCUGGGUGAUGGAGAGUGAUCCUGCUCCUUAUGGAGAGCAAAGACUCCAAAGCAGCACUGUCCAGGAGCAAGGUAAUGCAGAGCAUGUGUGUCAUUUCAAAUUCCCUACUAGCCACAUUAGGAAAAAAGAAGAAGAAGAAGAAGAAGAAGAAGAAGAAGAAGAAGAAGAAGAAGAAGAAGAAGAAGAAGCAGCAGCUAGUGAAAUUAAUUUUAGCCUUAGGUUUUAUUUAUAUCUACACAUCUGAAUAUUGCAAUUUUCCUUAGUAGUCAACAUAAAACUUAUAACUAAGAAUGUCUGACAUUCUUUCCCCCCGGCUGUCUUUGAAAUCUGGUAUUUUGCUCUUAGGGCACGUCUCAGUUUGAACCGUGUGCUUGCCGGUCACUGUGGUGAAUGGCUGCUGUCUUGGACAUGGCAUACACGGAGGGCCCAAGGCCCUGGAAGGGUGGGGAAGAUGAGGAUGGGCCUCAUGGGGGCUCAGCUGUGAGGCUGAGACAGGAAUCCUCCUUUGAAGCCAGGUUCACAGCACUCGCUGGGCACAGGGAUCUGUGAUUCGUGGGCUACGCUGUCUCUUGGUCACUGCUGAGCGACUUGGAUAUAGAAGGUGUGUUUGGGAAGAGCCGUGAAUAGAAACCAGGCUGUGGGUGCAUCUGUAGAGAUGCCCAAAGCCCACCCCCUGACCUGCCACCUCCACCUUAGUAUACAUAGGCUCCAUUUCUAAAGAGCAAGCCCCUCUCAACCUUUGCCCGGAGGUAUGGUGGCGUGGGGCGAAGAGGUAGGUCAGGAGCACCCAGGUCUGGCUUUUCACCUCUGCUGCCCGAGUGGCCCUGGCUAAGCCAUUUCAACUCUCUAUGCCUCAGUUUCCUCAGGAGGCCUCCAAGAGCAGCCUAGUGGGCACAGAACCAGCUCUUCAAAAGAGGCGAUUUGCAGCCUGGUGACGAUGAGGGGCUCAUGGACCAGCUCUGAUGACCUGGGUGCAGGGGGAAGGACACUGCAGGCUCCGUGGAGGCACCCAAGGGAGGACAUUAUUCCUGGACCAUUGCAGCAGCAGGGGUUUCCGUCCAAGGUACCUGGCCAGGAAAGGUUGGCCUUGGAGAAAGUGGCCUCAGAGCUUGAAGGAGGGAAGGGCGGCCACCACAGGGGCGGAGCAGAGGUGGUGUCAUCCAGAAGACAGCCGAGGAGGGGACCUUGCCUUUCCUCCUCUCAGGGAAGCCCCUGUGGUGCUCUGGAGUCUGCAGGGGGUUCUGAGUAAAUGGGGCACAAAACACUGCAGCAGCCCCCUCCCCCUCGCCCCCCAGGAGGGGGAAAGUCUCAGCCGUUACAUGGAUCCCUUGAGGGGAAGGGAAGCAAAGAAGGCCUGAAACCCCCUUCAGGCCUCAACUUUUUAUCUCAGGCUGAACUCUUCUUGGCCGUCGCUCGCCCAGGCAGCAGCUGUGGUCUCUACGUGACUGCAUGCAGUGAUCCAGCCAUGAGGCACUGGGGCUGCUCCUGCUGGGGCCCCUGUGGAGGAGGCUUGCUGGAGGCCAGCUGGGAGGGGAGUUUAGGAAGGAAACGGGUCUGAGUUCCAAAGCUUGAGGUUCCAGUCUCCAGAAUAUGAGAGCAUCCCUGGAGUAGCAGAAGCCCAGCUCGCUGUGUCGGUCCUGAAAAGUUGAGUGCUGGAACUGCCAGAUGGCUUCAGAAACUUGGGAUUCUGUACUUGGGAAGUGCCAACCUUUCUGGAGGUGGCUGUGCUUUGGGGUGAGCAGUUGAGGAAAUAAAAGAGGCCAGGGCCAACACCCUGCAGAAAACUGCUAGGCCAGCACUGCAAGAGGCUAGACAACCCCCAGGCCAAGUGCAUCCUUGCUGGGGAGAGAAUUUGCAGGGAGGAAGCGUGUCAUUAAUUGGACGGGGCUCCUUCUGUCUCCUACUUGUGGGGACAGCCAGAUGUUUUUCCACAUUGAAGGCUCGUCCACUAAAGACCCAGGCGAGCCUGCGUGUGUCCUGCUGUCUCUUAGUGGGGUAGUUUUCUUGGUGGCUCUGUGUAGAAUGGAAGUGGGGAGUUUCCUGGGGGUGGGCAUAUGGUGUACACACGUGCUCAGCAGUGUUUGUGGGAAGGGUGCACGGGGGAUGUCACGCCUGGCGAGGAGGAAGAGCCACUGGGUCACUCCUGUGUCCCUCUCUGACGCAUUCUUAGGUAGUCUCAUGAAGAGAACCGAAAGUCCAUCUUUCUUGCCAGAGUCUUGCUGCUCAAAUCCCUCAACUAAGGGAGAAAAAUCCAAUAAACUUGAAAAGCCUCCCCAUCCUGGAGUGUCGGGGAUUAGUGGUCAUGCUCGACUUCGAAUUAUCCAAGGUGCAGAUCCAGAGCUGAGCUGGCUGGGUGCAAGCAGGGUCCUUCUGCUUACUAGCUGUGAGGCCCCCAGCACUUCACCCCCUCCCCUUGCUGGACCUUAGUUUUCCUAUUUGGAAAAGGAGGUGCCGACACCCUGAACCUGCAGCUCCCUGGAUCAGGUGGAGCUUUGGACGUUGGUGGGUGUGUGGCCAGCGCUCCUCUGUGGGACCUGGGCUGAGGCUGUCCACACGAUGUUCUUUUUGUCUUCCAGGGGAGCUGGUACUGGACUGGCAUUCGAGGGCAGGAAUCCCCGGGGAGACUUGGAUUUGUUAUAGAAACCCACCCUUCAACUUGGCCAGCCCGUUUCAAAAUAGGGAGUUGACCCAAUAGCUUUGGUGAAUGCUCGUAGUUUAGACAGUGGGAGAGGCAGGAGAAGGCACUCCAGAGACAGCCUCCACAGAGGCUUCCGGGGCAGAGUCGGGGCAGAGUGGGGACAGGCGCCUUCCCUGGGGCCAGUGAUGACACAGUUAGAGAAUUUAAAGAUGAGAAAAACCAACCAGCCUCGGAGACUACUGUUUAUCAUCGCCAUGCAACAAGGGGUUAGUAUCUGUGAGAGGAUUUCCCUCUCCAUGAAAAAGAAUUUGUUCUAAGUUCUAAACAAUUGAUACAGUUACUGUUGAGCUGCUGAGUUUUAAGAAAAUAAAUGAGCUCUGUGGUGCCUUUUGAUUACUUACUUAUCCUUCAGGAGAAGUUGCAUUCUCUGUGGAAAACAGCUGGCCCCCAGUCCGUGCUUGCUCAGUGACAUGGCUCAUUUUGAGAGUAAAUUCAUAAUAGACUGGAACUUUCUCUCCUCACUUUAUAGAUAGUUCAUCUGUCCACCUUCUCAAUACAACAUAUUCUUUUUUUUUAAAGUGGGUGUAUCAAAAUUGAACGGAAUAUUAUGCAGUUAUCAACAAUAAGAAGUUGGAUCAGUGUAUGAUCUAAUAGAGGACAUAUCAUACAAUGUCCAACAUGCAGUGUUCAAGUAAGUAAGCAAGUUGCAGAACACUUAAAAUAUUUUAAAAGGUAGCAUUUACAUGUACUUACAUGUGUGUACACACAUGAAAUUUGUACAUGAGAAGAAUCUCUCAAAGGACAGAUAAACAAUUUUGCAGACUUAAAAGGAGAAUGAUAGCACAGAAAUGCAAAGACAAAGACCCAAACCACUUCAAUUCUCUCAUUCUGUCACUGCUUGGGGAUUUUGUUUAUGUUAAAAAUUUAACACAGUGAAACAGAGUAUGAAUCAGGAGUGCAGCAUUUUCGUCUGGUAAAUGCAAAUUUUGGUUCAUAUAUUAUUUUAUUGAUAUUUUUAAACACUGGCAUCUUUCUUUCUAAAUUGUUUAUUUGAAAGAUAAAGAACGUAUGUAGGGGGUGAUGACUAUUUCUGGUUAUCGAGUGGCUCCUAGGUGAGUCAUUUCUGCACAGGGGUGCGUGCCAUGGUCUGCUCCGGUGUCCAUACACUGCGCCGCUCACCUCUAAUCAAAAUUUGAAAAUGCUCUGGGGCAUUAUUAUCCCCACAAGAUUUGCCUGGAGGAAUGAUAUGACCAACACUGGCAAAUCCAUGGCAAAUCCAUUCUAGAAGGUUUUGAGUGAUUUCAGGAGCAUCCACUUUAUUCCUUCCACCAGGGACAUAUUGUUCUUUUUUCUCACCAUAGGAAACUCCCUAUUUCCUGACCCUGAAAUUCCUGGAAAAAACCUCUCUUAUUCUAGAGUUGAGAGACUGAAUAUGCCGAUGUGGUAGUGGCAGUUUCUUGGGAUGCAGGGGUCUCAGCUAAAGGAGCAAGGCACCCGCUGGGGAAAGUGUGGAGAGGGAGGACAGCGGCUCGCCCCCUCCUCCUAAGGACCCGUGCCCCUUGGGUCCUGGGGGCUGCUCCCACGCAGGCCUGCCUCCCUUUCCUGGUGAGUCUUGCGCCCUAAUCUACCAGGACGGCCUCUCCCCAAUGCUUCCUGGGGCUCUGUUAUUGGAGGGGUCUUCUGGCAGCAGAGCUCCCCCGCACAGCCUGGUGCAGGCACUUAGUGUGCUGAGUAGUCAGUGCACUGUGGCCCUGGCUGGGCAGGAGCCUGCGGCAGUCUGGGUCCAGAAUUGGCUCCUAGGGACAAAGACAAGACUGUAUCUGGCCAUUUGGGAGGAAUGGAUGUUUUAUAUGCGGACAAGAAGGUGGUUGGAACUCUCUCCUUUCCUGGUGACGAAGCUGUGUCGCCUCUUGGCUUUCUUGCUACAAAGGACUCGCAGCUGUUGUGGCGCUGUCCACGGGCCUUCUCUUGCACGGCAAGGCUCAGUGGCCUCAGCGUGUCUAGGAGGCCUAGGAAGACUGGCCUGUUUCCAGAGACACAUGCUUUUGCUGGGGGUGGGGGUGGCAGUUUGCAGCAGUUGGCAGAUGUGACCCUGGUGACAUCCAAGCUAGUAAGGUCUGCUGGGGGUCAUGGCUGUUGGUGAAACUGUCCAGGCCUCUUCUGCUGGGGCUUUGCGUCCUCUUCCCAAGUGUGAGAAGGCAGUCCCAGCAGGAAGUGUGGGGUUGACCAGGGACUUUAACAAAUGUUGACGGAUGGCUUUUGUGUCAUUGCAUGGGGCAUGCAGGCCAGUGAGGAAAGUCCCUGCCAGGCCCCAAGACCCUGUGAAUAAAAGCUGAAGGUGCUUCGAAGUUUCUAAAGUUGGUUAUUUGAAGAAAAAUGUGCAGCAGGGUCUUCUGUGUUUGUAGGGUGAGAGGAUCGAUUCUUUCUACACCACAGAGCCUGCCUGUAGCACCUGCCUCUAAAGUUUGCACACGGGAACAUGAAUCAAGCCUACAAGCAGUUAAAUAAAAUAUGCUCUGUUCUCAUAUUUUACAAAUCUAGGGGUUGGGGCUGGGGUUCAGUGACAGAGAACUUGCCUAGGAUGUGUGAGGUGCUGGGUUUGAUCCUCAGCACCACAUAAAAAUAAACAAACAAAAUAAAGCUAAAAAAAUAUCUAUAGUCACAUAUUUUUUUCAUAUAUUUCAAGACAAAACUGAAAAAUGUGUAAAGCUGUAGUUUUUUACAUGACCCAAAGCGGGCAGAUAUCAAAGAUGACUGAAUUAAUUAUUAAAUGUCCUUUUGUUCUAUUUGAAUGAUGAACAAGAUAAAGAUACACAUAAUUUAUAAUUACUCUAUAGUUCUCUAAAUUAAUUUUUUGCCUUCAUUUCAUCACAACCACAAAUCCUGUCAUUAAAAAUGAACAUUUUCACAUAAUUUUGUUCUAUUUAUAACAAUGAGCUAAGGGAUUUUUUUAAAAAAAUGUUAAUGUAUUUGAAAUAUGCACAAUUUAAAUAUAUUUUUAUCACAAAUGUGAAAGUAUAUGUAAAAACAUAAAAAAUGUAUUUUCUCAUAUAUAUUUUCAAAGAGAGUUAUUUUUUUCUUAUAAAACAUUAAAACUGGAAAGGCAAAAGUACAAAUUAGCAUUAAUAAAUGUCAAAAAGGUAGAUGAAAAUUAUUUAAAUAAAACUGGAUUUUAAAUGUUAAUUUAUGAAAAGUAAAUGAGAUCUUAUUAAAUAUCCUUGUAAAUAAUACCUCCCAAUUCUAGCAUUCGGUUCCCACCCAGCCACUGACAUAAAUUGGCAUCGCCCAAUGUCUUGCCCUUGGACCUACAUGGCUACCAGUUCAGAAAUCAUGGGAACCGUGGAAGUCUGCUCCACACUCCUCAUGGCCACGCCACCUGUGAUUGUCACGACGCCGUGUGACUUCCCGCAUCUCCAGGAGCAGUUAGAGCAGCAGCUCUCCUGGAUGGUUGAGUUAUGCAAGUGUCACUUGCUCCUCCUUCCUGCCACCCAGUGAGAAGGCCAAGGGCUCCUGUCUUUCCUCCUCCCUGUGUUGGGUUAGCUGCUCAAGUCCCCUCCCCUCCUGGGCCACCGUCCCGGGGGACAUCAACAGUCCUAGUAUGACCUGCAGAACUCUGGGGCACUUGGAGGCAGUGAGGCUUUCUUUUUCAUUCCAAGACCAGGCACAAAAUGUGGAGAUGGAUGGGAGACGCGUUUCCUGGGGCCUGAGUGGCCAUGGUUAUGGGGGUGGAUGUUUAGGGUUAAGAAUGCCCAGAGCCCUGGACCCCAGGCGACAGAGGGGCCGUGUGAAGUGGUCUGAACCUCGGGACUCAGGUCAGGUGUCCCUUGGCAGAGUCUUCUGGGCGUACUGACCACUCAUCCCGGGUACUGGGGUGACUCUUCUUGCCUUCUGGUGUGACUUACCUGGCUCUGCAGGGCUCGGUUUCUGGAUCAGCCAUCCUCUAUGGAAGAAGGAAAUUUCUGAGAGUCCCAGCUGCCCGGGGGCUCGUUCCAGCCCUGGCCAGUCUUGGGGUGGUGCAGCAUUGGAGCUGAAGCAAAGGUUGUGUGGACCUUGCUCUUCUAGUAGGGUCCUUCUCCUGAAGAUGUGGGAAGUCACAUGGCGUCGCAGCAAUCACAGGUGGCCGUGAGGAGUGUGGAGUGGCUUCCCAUGGUUUCUAUGAUUUCUGAACUGGUAGCCGAGUAGGUCCAAGGGCAAGACGUUGGGCGAUGCCAAUUUAUUCUAAUGCUAGAAUCGGGAGGUAUUGUUUACAAGGAUAUUUAUUAAAAUCUCAUUUACUUUUCAUAAAUUUAUAUUUAAAAUCCAGUUUUAUUUAAAUAAUUUUCAUUUACACUUUUGACAUUUAUUAAUUUCAAUCAAUGGCCAGUCUCGGAGUGGUUGCAGCACUGGACCUGAACAAAGGUUGUGUGGUCACCUGGGAGAAGUGGGUGCUCUGUGGUGGCAGGAGCUAUGGGGUGGGCCUUAUGUGUCUGUGCACUCCUCUCAGAGGCUGCUGCCCAGGUACUGUCUCAAAGCUGGACUUGAUCCUUGGUGGGUCUGAGCCUCAUCUGGCCCUCACUCCUGUGUCCCUGACUUCUCUUCCUAUUUCUGUGUCUUUCCCUCAGAUCCUGAGCUCCAUCAUGGUCUACUGCCUGGCAACUUCAACCGUAUCCCUGAUUCUCUCCUUGCUGGCCAGCUUUGCCCCAGUGGCUCCCCUCCUGCAAAUAGGGCAAAAGGCAUGGAGAUGAGACCAGAGUGUCCGGCUCUGGGGGUUUGAUGGACCGAGACAGACAAGUGAGCGUACAAGCAAACAUUUUGAAAACGAGCGCAUGAGUCAAUGGUCAGGACUGGUGCACGUUGAUUGGGGUGGAUGUAACUGAAGGGUCACUAGUAGGAUUUCCACAGCCAGCUGGCUCAGGGCCUCUCUGGUCACCCUGGGAAAGCCUUACUUUUUGAAAGGUUCCAGUCCUCUCUCAGUGAAAACACACGGGUGUGACAACACCCAUGGUUCCCUGACCUCCACAGACUGAGGUCUGAGCCCAUUGAAAUCAGGUGUCUGAAGUCACGCAGAAUGGCUUUCAGUGGUGCUGUGAGCCGACCGUUUCAGGGUACUCCUUCCUCCGAUUUCACAGAUGUGUCGGUUGGAUUUUAUUCUUAAGUGGCCUAAGCCAAAAGCAUCUUCUCCCAGAAACAGCAGGUUCAUUUCAAUUCAAUAUUUCACUUUGGACAACUGCUUGCCUUCAUUUAGCGCCGCAUGCUGGGACUUGGUCUCCCCGGGCGUUCUGGCUUCCCUCCCGUUAGCGACGGUGGCAGCAGUGCAGACAGAUUGAGGCCCCAGGAAGGCGGACCCCCCAACUGCGCGGCAGCAGUGAGCUGGGAGCAGAGGCUGUGCACGCUAAUGGUUGUGAGUGCUGCUUUUCCAGCCAUGAGCUGUCUAUAUCGCAUUUGCGUGGAGACACAAAACAUCUAACUAUCAGACGAAGCCAGACGCAACACCCAGCACAGAGAGGACAGCGUCUUCUCCAGCUGUGUCUGGUGCCCGGGGUCACCGAGGGGAAAAAUGACAAUGCCUUGUGUGCUGGGUGGUGGGUGGCUACAGGAUUUAGAGAAGUCUCUCUCACUACCCCAGGCAAAAAACCUUCGUUGUCCUCUGCCUGGGUAGAUUACUCCUGCAGACACUGGUCUGAGUCUAGGCUGAGCCCAGUCUGCCCUGCAGGGCUUCUCUGGUACUGGGGGUUGCAAAUGUGGAAUUCUGGGGGCAGCUCUCCAGGCCCAUGUGGAAAGAAGUGCUGAGACAGAACACAGAGGGCCCUGGAGGCCCGGGGCUGCAGCGCAGGGCUGGCCUCCGGCUUUUGUAGGUGAGGAGGGCCAUCCUCCUGCAGCACAGGUGUGCAGUGGUCUUGGGGCCGGGCAGGUGGGCUUGUUUGCUCUGCUGCUUCCUGUGGACAGUGUCCAUGGCUCUGGGAGGCUCUCUGCCAUCACAGGUCAGGUUGAGCGGCUUCCAGCUCAGGGUAUCUGGGUGUACGUGCCUCCUGAAAAGCCUUCUCUCCCUGGACUGGGAGCAGCUUCUUCUGCCCAGCAAAGGAAGUAGGUGAGAGGGAGGAAGACCCCUAUGUGUGGCUGGUGGCAGUGGCUCAGAGCCACAUGGGGCAGGGGAGACCCUGCUCUUACUGAUCUCCUCCUUGGAGGGAAGGUAUUAGGGCAUCAAGAACAUUCUUGCUGCUCAGACAGAGUCCUCUGGAGAAGGCGGCCCAGGUGGGUUAGGGUUAGGCACUUCUGUACUCUGGAGAUGGGAGCCUCGUCUGUGAUAGUUCUGACUAGGCUGCCUGUCACAUCUGCACAAUGGGAAGCUGGGCCAGAGGGUUUUACGGUCCACACUGAACUUGAGGUUCUGGGAGGGCAGUCAGAGUUUAGUUACAAUCUUUGUUUUCCAGGAGACCCAAGUUCAAGUCCCAUUCCCCAGUUUCUUGUUGCUGUGCAGCCUAGGACAAGCCACUCCCCUCUCUGUACUGUCCUCCCAGCACAGGUGGUUGGUAUGAGGAGCAGUCUGGCUCACAGGGCUUGUCCUGGACAGUGGUUUCUUUCCCUACAUCUCCUUUGAGUUGGCAGAGGCCCACAGACAACCAACCCCAUCUCCGGAGCAUAGACCUUGUCUACCGCAUAGCCAAGUUUCCCAUGCACUCCAGAUUUGAGGACGGCCAGCUGCCGUGUAAUUCAAAUGAGAGCCCUGUUGCCCUUUGAGGACAAGCCUCAUGUAAGGUCCACCUGUCACCUGAGUCUCUGUGGCCCAGCUCAGUGCAUGGCCUCUGCUAGUGCUGAGACACCAGAUGCCUAUAGCCUCAUGUCUGCCCUGCAAGGGGUGCUAGCCUAUCCAGGGGCCACGGGGCUGGGUUUUCGACCAGCUCAUGUGGUGCUGGCUUGUCUGCAUGUGUCAGUGCUGAAGCCCUGUGAAGAACCCUCUCCUGCCCCUUCGAUGCCUGCCCCAGUCUCCAGAUAAGAUGGGAAGGGAAGUGGAUGAGGGACUCCAUUCAGCCUGACCUCAGUUAACAUUUCAGCUCUGCCAGGCAUCAGCUGUGCAUCACAAGAGAGGUCACUGAGCUCCUGAGUCCCAGCUUCUGGUCUGUAAAAGCGGGUGCUGAUUCCCUUGGCAGGAGGGGUGUGAACAGCAAAGGCUGCCAAGUCUCUGCACAUGGGAGGCAUCGGCAGAAACAUUUCUGUUGUUCAGAGCAAGGUACUUGUGCCCUGGACCAGCGUCAUCAGCAUCACCUGGGAACUUGUGAGCAAGGGAAUUGUCAGACCCUCUCCCCAUGUGCUGAGUUGGAACCAAAGAGAUGGGGUGACGCCAUGGAUCUGACUGUUCACAGCCCUGCAAGUUCUACAGCAUGGUAAGGCCAGAGACCUCGGACUUGGAGAUAUGUUGCAAACUUCUUCUUCCAUGGUAUUUCCUUGCCUGGUUCUGCUUCCUUCCUCCGAAUGGGACUUGGGAGAGUCUCCGAACUUGGGAGGGCAGUGAGUCUGGGCUGGAUCUGUCAGCUGGGCUUGGAUAAUGUUUGCUGGAUUGGAGGCAAGAGAAAGGGCAGUAGGACCCUUGGGUCCUGUCCUCCUCUGGGUGCAGACAAGGGCCUCUUAUCUGUGCCUGUCUGGGAGGGCUGCCCCUCCUCAUUCCCUGGACAGGAGUGUGCGGCUCCUGUGCAGUCUGUCUCCCCCUGCUGCCUGUCACCUGGGCACACUAAGGAGACACGAUUGUGGAGGCAUGCAGUGGGUGCUUGAACCCUUUGUGGGACAUGAGAGGAUGGGCACUCUGUAGAGUACUACAGAGCACUUCUGGGAGAAGCACAAGGGGACAGAGAGUGGUGAUUCAGAUGCAGGCCCAGCCUGGGGGCACUUGAGCUGUAGCCAUCCCAGGUGUCCAUCAAUUCCACAUGUGGGCAGCAAGCCAGGUGCUUUGAAUGCAGAGUUAAUAAUUAGGUAAAAUCAAACGGUCUAUUCUUGAAUACGAAACAGAGCAGCAUAAUGAACUUGUAAAACCUUUUAGAUUCUUUUCAGCAUGGUGACAAGUUUUUUUAAGUUGUUUUGAAGCUUCUUUUCUCGUGUGGUUUUUAUUAUGGUAAAAUAUACAUAACAUAAAAUUUACCCUUUUAACUAUUUUUACGUACAUAGGUCUGGGACAUUAAGCACACUCAUGUAGUUCUGCAAACGUCACCACCAUCCGUCUCCGGAACUUUUCCAUCUUCCCAAAAUGAAAUUCGGUCCCCAUUAAACACUAGCUCCUGUCCUUCCCUCUCCUUGGCCCCUGACGGCCACUUAUUCCAUUAAAGCCCUGACUGAGAUAAAAGGAGGUGGUGGGAGGUUCUAAGAAACCCCUCCUUCAAGAGUAUACUUAAGAACCCAGUUUUCUUGAGGCAGGACCUCUGCUUGACCUCCAGACGUGAGCACAGCACAGAGGUAUAGACGUAGGCGGGAACGUUGGGCCCCUUUGGAAUAGUUGCACAUGCUUUAUUUUGCCCUUGAUGAAAAGAGCCGUGUUAAGUUUAUAAAAGAGCACUUGCAGAAGAAGAAAGCCUUGGACCCAGCCAUGGCCUUCCUGAGUUGUUGACAGCUGUUAUUCACUGAAAACCUCCCUGGAAACAAAGAGAUAUUGCAGCAUUGUUCAGCGUGGGUGUUUGAAGUGGCCUCCUUCCAGAGCUCUGCUGAUGGAGGGGCCGGGUCUGGGCCAGGGCCUCGUGCCUCCUGCUUUCUUCCUAUAGCUGCUGCAGCUUCGAAGGAGCCUGGGAGUGUCCUGAAGCAGUCCAACUUGCAGGCAGUCCUUUCUUCCACGUGCCUGUGACUUCCUGAUGCUCUACUACUCCCUUCACAGGGCUGUGCUGCUUUGGCAGAGAAGCAAAGAUGACAGGCACCUUCAGGACCCCUGCUUGUCGAUGUCCCUGGGAUAUCACCUGAGUGCUAGGGUAGGAAGAAUCUGGGGCACUUAAGAAAAACUGAAAGUGGCCAUUUUUUUCCCCAGGAAGGGAGGUACCCACGUCCACAUCCUGCAUCUUCCUCUUUGUGAAAUCCAUGCUGCGGGCCGGCCCUGGAUGCUGUCUGCAGGCCUGUCCCCGCUGGGUGCUGACAGCGUGGGCCCCUGUGCCUUGCUGAGUCAUCUCGGGCUCACUUUUCCCACCAGUGCAACGGGGUUAAUGACGCCUGCCCCGGCUGGGGACUCAAACGAGAAAACCUAGGUGAAAGUGACUUGAAACUCAGAAAGUGCCUUCCACGUGGCCUGUGGUGGCCUUGUGGCGGGCAUCCCUCUGGGGGAGACCUGCGGAGCGGGUUUGGCAGGGCCUCCGGAUGGGGUCUCUGGGGGGGGGAGCCCCUCCAUCCCCCGGCUCACUCACCUCCAUCCCCCCCCACUCACCUCCCACGGGUAUGAUCAUUUCCUACGUGGGCCCUGACAAUGGAGGGGAAGCCCUUUGGAGAGGUCCGUCCGGGUAAGAGCAGGUGAGGCAGGUCCUGGACAGGGCUCCCAACUCACCCUGUGCUGUCACUGGCUUGGUGACACUUCCUCUGGGAGUUCUCCCAGGGGCAGACCACCUGUGCUGGGAGUGCUGGUUGAGCUGUCUCCCUGUAGACAUCUACCUUUAGCCCAGGUCCUGGAACAUGGGAGGUCUUCAACUAGCAGUGAGCACCCUAACAAAUAUCAUCAUGGAACAUCAGUCAUCGUACCUAUUUAUAAUUAUUUACUUCUUUAAGAUUAGUUGAAGAAUAAGUUUUGGGGAGGAAAAAAAAACAUGCCGCAAAAGUAGCAUCAUCAACAGUCUGGUUUCUCAACGUGCCACUGGUAGCUGGGUGGGCCCAGAGCCUGGUAGAAACACUGGUUCAGACCUGAUCCAGACUGGCUGAGUCAGCAUUUACUUUUCGGGUGUCUUCAGGGCCCUUGCAGAUGAGGGAGAGAAGCUCGUGCAGGAUCACCUUCCCAGACCUGGGAGCAGCGGAGCUUGUGGAUUCUCACCUCUGGGGAGACUCCCAGCCACAAAGCCAGGGAUUUCCCAGCUCUGGUGGGGGGGUGCUGCCAAAAGGGGACACACAUGCUCACGGCUCUGGGGGUGGCUAGGGACCCCUCCUUCACUCCUGCAGCGUGUAGGCCAGUGGCCUAGGAGGAGUGAGAACAACCCGCUGCCUUGGCUUUCUCUGGCCCCCUUGUCCUCGAGGGACCCUGGCUGACUAACACCUUUGCCCUGCCCAGGCGGAGAUUUUGGUGCCCCAUACAGGGAGAUGUGCUAAGAGGUGACUUUGGCCUCAAUUAGUCCCAGGCUCCAGAUAAGAGGAUUCCAGAUCCUUACCCAUGCAGGCGACUGCAGCCCUCCUAGUCUCCCUUAGACGUACCUGCCUUCUCUCCUGCUCCUGGGAACAGCCCUUGCACUCCAGUCUUGGGUGGAUUGUGAUUCUGCACUAUUAUUUUACCAUGAGCUGAGGUCGGGAGAAGACUACUAUUCCAAGUCUGGGCCCAGCUAGCCAUUUAUUCCAUCAGUCCUUUUUGAGCACCUACUGUGUGCCAGGUGCUCAGCUGGGCACUGAAGACACAGCAGUCACCACCCUGGCCCUCAUUCUCCAGGAAGACACUGGCAAAUGAUGGUUAAGAAGCCAAAAUCAGCAUUUUGCUCAUCAGCUGCGUGACCUCUGGAACCUCUCAGGGUCUCGAUUUCUUCAGAUUUAAAAUGGCAAUGGACAGGUGGUUUCCCUGAGAGGGUUUCUGUGAGGAGGAAGUGCGUUAAUGCACAGUGCCUGGCGAUACUUAUGCAGACAGGAAGGGGGCUGCUCAGGGACCAAGUGCUAAGUGUGAGCAACCCUCUGGGUCUCCUGCUAUAUUCUAAAACCCAUUUGAAUGCUGGCAGACUGUCCUUCAGCUGUCCUUUGGCACUCAGGGCCUGAGACCCCAGCUUCCCAUCUGCUCAGAGGGGAAUUUAGUCUCCUCCUCAGGUGGGAGUGAAGACUGACCGAGCCAUGUAGACAGGUGUGUGGUGGUGCUCAGAUCAGGGGUCCUGUCCUCCUCAGCUCUUGGGGAGGAUCUCCAUGUCUGAACUGGUUUCUCUAAUCCUUGAUUUAUUGCCGUGACGGUGUUUGUUCUUUGUGAGUCCUUCUGCUUCAGCUUUGUGAUGAAUAAAUCCUUGAUCACAGUCAAUUCCUCAAACAGAGCGACCUUGGGGCUGAAUUCUUUGAACCUGUGUUUGGUUAUGUCACCAAACUGAACAAUGGGGUUUACAGCUGUCCUUCUCUGGACAAGGACAUUUGACCAACUGUUUUUGCAGCAGGAUUUGAGGAGGGUGAGGAGCAUGUGAUUCCAUGUUUAAAUAAGCCUAUCUACACAAGGGGAGGAAGGGAGCCCUCUACAUAGAGGGCAGUGGCACCCACCAUCCCCAGGAGACCCAAGGAGAGACCCUGCCUGGGCAGAGGCCCAGAUGCCACUGGCUAUCCUGUGAGCAGGAGGCUGCUCUGGAGCCUUGGACUGCAAGGUUCCCGGGGUCCUUAAGUCAUGCCACAUGGUACCCUUCUGAGGCUCAAAUCCCCCUCGAGUCCACUCAGCUGCCGCAGAGGCUGUGUCUGGAUGCUUCUGAGGGCAAAGCUGUGGCCUGACCGUGUCCCUCCAGAAGUUCACAUGUUGGAAACGAAUCCCACGUUCACAUGAGAGGACAUUUGGAGCUGGGGCCUUUGUGGGUAAGGGAACCCCACCAUGGCACUGCUGGAUUUGCCAGAAGAGGAGAGGGCCCAGGCUGGAUCGCUUGCCCUGUCCCCCAAUGAGAGGGGCAAGGAGGUCCCCUAGAUUCCAGCCCCUCACCCAGGGCUUCCACCCCCCAAAGCCGUGAGAAAUGUUUCUUCUCUUCAGAAACUACCCAGUCGGUGGGAUUCCACUGAGCCGCAAAGAGUACGCGAGACAGACACACAGCCUCCUGCCACAGCUGGGGUUGAUCUACUCUUGAUUUUUUUUCCCAUGGAUUUUUUUCAAGGCACAACUUACAAUACAAUGUGCAAGUCUUAAAUACACAGCUGGGGGACUCCCCCCCACAUCACUGUGUACCCAUAGCCCAGAUCAAGGUGGAGAACGUCAUCAUCAGCUUCCCCACCUUCCCAGGGAGCAGUCCCCACACACUGUCAGUUCUCUGAUGCUGUCACCGUGGGUCAGCCUUGCUUGUUCUUGAGAUCCAGGAAAGUGGAGUCAAGGUGACAUUCAUCAGCCUCUGGCUGAUUCCUCUGGACUGAACACCCUCUGGCUCUGCCCACCCCUCUGGACCCCUUCAGCUCCUCUGCCUGGCUUCCUGGUCCCCUUCCUGGUCCUUGCUUGUCUGGUGGCAGGACCGUGGUAGCAGUCAUGGUGACAUGCCGUGAGGAUGUGAUGGCGUCCAAGGCUGUGUGGCAGAGUAGGGCUGCGGGCUUCGGUGUCUGGACUGGGAAGGCGAGGUCUAGACUAGGGACAAGGUAGGCUGCUGGGUUGACUGCAAGGCCAGCUCUGUGGCCUUGGGUAGCCUUUGACUUUGCUGGACUUGGGUUUGCCCUUCCCCAGAAGAAGGUGCCCUUUGAUUUGGGGGCUCUUCCAGGUCCCUUUGACCCACAGCCUAAUUCUUCAUCUUCCCCUGCAGGUUUGUGGAUACAGCCUCUGCCAUUUUGCAGUUCCCAAGGGCAAAUGCUCAGGGGCAGGUGUAUUUUUCACCCCCCUUGAAGUUCACCAUUCUGCAGCCCACUUUAUUUUAUCCCCUCUGCUGGAAGGAAGACUUGGGCUCUCGGUGGGUGGGUCUCUAUAUAGAAGGUCCCAGAAUUGGCUGCAAAGAUGGUUUUGUUUGGAGAGUAUUUUGAUGUCUUGGUUCAGUAGUUUUAGAAAAUAUGAAGACACAGAAAGACCUGUAUUUGGGAUUCAGUUCAACAGGGGGCCCUGGAGCCACAUAACAGGGAGGUGGGUAGGAUAUGGCUGAGCCACCACCCAUGGUGACUGUGGGCCAGACCUAUACUGUGGUGGAGUGGGGUUCUCAUUGGUGACAAGAGUGAAUGAGCCCUUUUAGGAUCCUCGUGGUCAUCAGAUAACAUGGCCAUCGUAAAACCUUGGUGCAGUGGGUAAACUUGGGUGCAGGUAAGGGCUUACCUGGGAAGUGAGCUUAUUAUGGGUCUUGUUUCCUGGUUUGGUUCUUUUGUCUCUUGUCCUUAUUGUCCUCUCUCAUCUCCUUCUGCUCCUUUGUUUUUCUUUUUUCCCAAAUGUAUUCCCUCUCUUUCACCCCUGUGCCACCCAGGGUGCUUCUGACUACAGUAGUCCCCACUCUUUCACAGUUUCCAUUUCUGUGGUUUGUUAUCGAUAGUCAACUGUAGUCUGAAAAUGCUAAAUGGAAAACUGCAAAAACAAACAAUUCAUAUGUUUUAAACUGCAUGAUGAAAUCUUGAAGCAAUCUGUUCCAACCCCUCACCCCCUUUGUCCAGCGUAUCCAUGCACUAUACACUACCUGCCCAUUAUCACUUAGUGGCUGUCUCUUGGUUAUUGGGCCAACUACUAUUGCAUUGCAAUGCUUGCCUUCAAGUGACCUUCAUAGUAGUCUAAUGCUAUUGUCACACAACUAUGUCAUUCAUCUCACUGCAUCUCAUCAUGGAGGGUAAAGAAGGGUGAUUAUGGUACAAUAAGACAUUCUGAGAAGGAGAGCACACUCACACAGCUUUUACUACAGUGUACUGCUUUAUUUGUUUUAUUUUAUUAUUAGUUAUCAUUGUUCAUAUCUUACUGUGCCUAGUCUGUAAGUUAAACUUAUUCAUAGGGAGGCAUGGAGAGGAAGAGCAUAGUCUACCUAGGACUUGGUGGCAUUUGCAGCCUGGGGAGUCCUCUGGGAGUCUUAGAACAAUCCCCUUCAGAUAAGGGGGUGACUGAGUGUACCCUUUUCACUCUCUGCCCUCCUAAACCCACGGCUCCCUCUCACAGACUCCUCCCCUCAGAGCCCUGCCUGGAUGUGACCCUCUGCACACGGCCCCCAGUGGCAGGGUAGGCAAUCCCAGGAGGCCACAGGGCACUGGGGCUUGACCACUUCUAUGCUUGAGCUUUGUUGCACUGGCUGGCUGUCUCGGGACACUCAGAGCCCACCCAUUAGGGUGACUGUGGCUCCACACGCCUCACAUCCCUUAACUGAGAGACACAGGGGCCCAUGGUCUGAGCCGCCUGUCCCAGACCCUAGGACAGUUCAUCUCCAGCUCUCUUCAGCCCCUCAAGUCUGUCUGCUCUACACUGAGCCCACCUGGGCCUGCCUUGUCCCCACCUUAAGCUCUUUGAGGACUGGGUCUAAGCCUCACUUGGAAACUCUGUGCUUAUUUUCAAGCAGAAUAAGCACUUAAAUGUCUGUUUCAUUAUGAGGAAGACCAAAGGAACAGGUGCACCAUGCGAGAUGUGUUUGCAUGUAAACUUUCUGUGACUAAGCAAGUCCUUGUUACAGGGCACAGCCUGUACCCUUUGGCAGUACCUCCUGCUGUUACUUGGAACUGAGAAGGUCAGGGCCACAGGAGCUUGUGGCUAAGGGUUCAUCUCCAUCCCCAGUCCUCCCUUGGCUUCCAGUGUGCCAAACAUCCUGGGACGUGACCUGCGAGGCACAGGGGCUUUAAACUGAAAGGUCAGCAUUUCACUUCCACCUAUGGUGCUUGCCCCGAGGGACCAAUUGAGAGACGGUGAUCUUUCUCCCGUCACUCCCCUGCGAUGACUUCAUCCAAGCAGCAUCUGCUGUGUGGACCAGGGGCCCGCACUAGUAAGGGCUUGGAGCCUACCCUUGUAUUAUGUCAUUUGGUUCCCAGUGACCGAACCUCAGAAUCAAAACACAACCAAAACAAAAGGGGAAAUGUUUCUCUGAGUUCAGGGUGACCUCCAGGUUCUUGGUGAUGGGCAGAACCGGGUUCCCGGGAGCCUCAUGGGCACUGGCUUCUUGUCUGAAACCAGCCAUCAAAUGUGUUUCUGAGGAGGAGCAAGGGCAGAGGGUUGAUGUCACCUUCGUGCCUGCAUUUCUCAGUGGGGUCUGUGAAGAUCAGCAGCUUUCUGCAUUCCAUGAGGAGUUGGUGUGCUGGGCUCCCAGGUCCCAGCACGAUGGGGUGACUUAAUUGCGUAGAAUCACCUGACUAAUGUGCAGUUCAAGGCCAGCUCGCCUCCUCUCUACAGAGCCUGAUUAGAAGUGGCUGCAGCUCAUGUGCUUUUAAAAGAGACACAAGUUCCCAAUCAGGAGGAAACCGUCAAGGUUUUAUUUCGCAACCUCCUUUGAAAGACCUGGACAUGCCCUUCAAGUGAUAGAGAGGUAAUUUACAAUACUUCCCUUUAAACUAGUUUCCAAAAAUAGCGGGGCUAUCUCACAGUCAAGGCUGCCUCACAGCCAAGGUCUGCCUGUGCUUCAGAAUGUGGUACUGCCCCAUGAGGCUCGGGACCAGGCCCCUCGGGAGUAACAGCCCACGUGGCUCUCCAGGGGCCCCGGGCAGCGGCCUUGUUUCCAGGAACACUCGUAACACCCAACACUCCAGGUGAAGGGGGUCUGGGCUCCUCUUUGUAACGGGCAUCCAGGAAGUCCUAGAAGGAGAGGAGCUCCUGUCCCUGCCAGUACCUGCUGGCCCUGCCUGAGGGCUGUGUAGACCCUCAGCCUGUGUAGACUCCCUGGCUGUGGAGACCCGUGUACAGCACCGAGGUCCCCCGCGGUGUGAGUGAGCAGGGUUUGGGGCCCUGCUGCCCAGGUCCUCUACUCAGCAGGCCUGGUCUGGCUUUCUUGCCUUUUUUGCUUUUGACAAGCGAAUCCUCUUGGAACACCUGCCACCCUGCAGGACAGUUGUGCAUGUGUGUCUUCUCCACAGCUGUUGCUUCUGGGGAGUUUUCAUGGUUUGGGGUUCAGAAUAGCCAGUGACGCUCAGGGAUGUUCUCUAAGGGUGGUUGAUGGUCUGGGAGGACAGGAGGGGUACUGAGGGUGCCUGCUGCAGGGGAUAGCUAACGCCUGGCCCGUUGCCUGCUGGGAGACUAGCUGACCUCAGACACGUGCCUGUCCUUGGGGUACCCUGUGGGGAAUCUUCAGUGUGUCCCAUGAGCACCUUGGGUUGGGGUCCUGGAAGGCUGGCCAGGCUUCUGGCAUGGGUUUGUUAAAUACUGGCUCUAUAUGAGGCUCCUUGAAACAAUAUAAAGAGCAACAAGGGUCCCGGCCCUCAUGCACCUCAGUCUUACAGAGGCCGUGGAUGAGGAGGGCAUCUUGGCACCUGGCACUACAGAGCUCCCUGCAGCAGACCCCACAUCCACACAGACCCUGCAGGCCGGUCCCUGCAGUUUCUGCAGCCUGGCUUUGGCGCCUUCCAGCUCUGCCACUCCAGUGGCUGGGGGCUAGCCUGAUGUCUUUUCCAGUGUCCUGGUCCUCUGGGGCUGGAGGCUGCGUGGAAGGACCAGGAGGCCCUGGCUCAUCUUGCUCUCUCCCCUUUCUCUGGCCCAGGCCAGCCCACCUCCUGAGUCUUGGGCACAAUCCAGGGCAGUGCAGAGUGUGGUGCCCUGGUGUCUGGAGAGGCACUUCCCCUGGAGUCCUUGGCAGUGUCUUCCCUCUGAGUAUGUCACAGAGGCCCCCUCUGCUGCACGUGCCAAUGGGUAUGGUCCCCCCUGGUCCCACGGCGCAUGCUCCAGAAGUCAGUUUCUCUGCUGGCCCCUGUUCCAGGCCACCAGCAUCUUUGCCCUCCUGUCUGGCUCUCAUCUGUCCCUUGUCCAUCCUGUCCAAGUGACCUUGCUAAAAUGAAACUCAAUGUGUCACUCUGCUUAGCCCUCUGGGACUGUCAUUGCACUCAGGGACAAAAACAAAACAAAACAAAAACCCCUAAACCUCCCUCUCUUUGGGUGGCCUCCAAGGUCCUCCGUGGCCCAGCCCUUCUCUCCUCCCCAGCAGUCUGUGCCACCGUCUCUCUGGAGCCACCUCUCCUUUCUUCAGUGCCACUGCAUUCUGGGCCCUUCCAACCUCCUCAGGCCUCUGUCCCUUUGCCUGGAGGGGACAUCUGCUAUCUGUGUAUCUGCUCCAGGUCUCUUCUACUGGCCACUGUCUUAUCCUGAUGUGACCCAAAUACUGUUCCUCAGAGGGACACCCUCCAGCCCCCCAUCAAAUACGGCUACCUCCACUUCUCUGUGUGUCUGUCCCUGAGCUUUGACUCGUGCUGUGGAGUCCUGUGUGUGUGAUGACCUGGUUAGGGCCUCUGCUCCCCCACACGGGGCACCUUGGAGGGUCCACCCAGAAUGUGUCGUCUGAAUGCAACCCAGUCCACAGCAGGGCCUCUGUGAACGUGGGCAAACGGCAGGCUGUUGCCACUGCUGCGUUACCUGGACAAGAGCCCUGAUUGCCAUGGUCCCCCCCCCCUCGUGCCAAGGUUGAAUUCUACUUGUAGUUAACUGCAGUGGUCCUGAGGACAGGCCUGCACACCUUUAUCUGGAUAUGGAAUAGUUAUGCACACCUCAUCAGAAAGUACGUCAGAGUCCAAGUUACUCCCAUCUCCUUGGCUUCAUAAAGCCAGGAGCUGAGGGCAAAGGUGUCCUGAAGUCACACUAGAACAGGCACAGGUGACUUAAAGGGCUACCUCCUAAUGUAUCUCCCCACACGUCACGCCGUCCUGACAUCUACGGAGGCUCCCUUCUUUCUCACUGUUGUGAGCAGUGGCUGGACCCUGGCCACAGUGGCUCAUGAGCUCCUGUAAACAGGCCAUCCCCUCCUGCUGUCCAUGGGCAGCUGCUCAGGACUGUCUAUGUGAAGUCCAUGCAGAGCUCCAGGGGCUGCAGGCCUCUCUACAGGGGCUGGAGGGUUCAGCCACAUGAGUGGAGGAGGUGGCAAUGGGGCCUUCAGCUAACCUGACCUUGCAGAGCCACCAGUCCUGGAUCUGCUGGAGGUGAGACAUGGGUGGGUCAGCACCCACCAACUGUGGCUCCUGGUGGUUGUCACACUCAGGCCCCUGGAACACGCAGUCAGUGUGACACUAUUGCUGGUUCCCAGAGGUGGAUGCCCAUGGCUGCUAUCUCAUCAAAUCCCUGCUCACCUGAGCCUCUGGUCCUGGAUUUGAAGCCACAUCCAAGCAGACCUGAUGACCGCAUCCAGGAAGGCAAAGCAGACCGUGGACCUGCGGAGACAGGGCAGGUGGGGAGGGCAAGAAGUGCAGGUGGCUUGUGAAAAGACCUGGAGGGGUUCUUGUGGCUCAGUCCCUCAGGAAAGGACAAGGUCUCUUGGGACACUCUGAGGGUUAUCUGUUUCUGCACAAAGCAGGACAAAGCAGAGCAGCUCCAGGGGCUGGGAGUCUGAGGUGACCAGUAGGGCUCAGCAGAAAGGACACGACGGUGAGAAUUCAGAGGGACACAUGUGGCAGAAGCCCUCCUGUGAGGAGUAGGCAGUCUUCCUAAAGGAGUUGACUUGGGCCCGGGUUCUGAAGGAUGUGUGAGGCUUUCCAGGCAGAGACUGAAAGGGCAUUUCAGAUAGUGGGCACAGUGCGGACCAGACAAACAAAACUGCUGUCCAAGAACGACAGCAGCCAAGAGAGAUGCAGUGGCAGAUUCAAGUGCACCAAGGUAGAGGUGACACCUGUCUAGGCUGAGUAUGCAGCGGCAAUGGCACCUUCACUGUUCCGUGUUACUCCUGCUUUGAGGUGAGAAGGACUGUGGUCAUUGCAAUGUCUUUCUGAAGCUGUAGGGCCAGUUAAAUGGUAAUGCCAUUUUGAAACCCUGCAUCUGUGGCCACUCCACUCCACCCUGGGGCUCUGCUGCAGGUGACGUCUUGAGCUGCAACAGGACUUGGGGAUAACAAGGACAGUGAAAUUGCAAGUGUUUCCUGAGGGUCUAGGGUCCCCUGCCUGAGGUGGGAGGCUGGCAGUUGGGUGAUGGUCACAUGGUUGUCAACUGGGAAGCUGUUCCACAAGUCGUCGCGGGGUUCCUAGAGGAGCAGGGACAUGCCUCUCACAGGUGUGCAAGGCUGCUAAACCUCCCGGCUUCCUCCACGCAGGACUUCUUGGAGUCUUGCAGGUCCAAGUGCCCUGUGGGCUUCCAAAAUGGAGAAUGUGGCCCAGGGUGGCCGUUUCCACGUGUGGUCCAGAAACCCUGGGUCCCCGAGUCACCUUAAGGGGCCUGGGGAGUCAGAACUAUUUCCAAAACAGCAAUAAGGCCUCAUUUCACUCUCACUGUCACGAGUACAUGGUGGAAUUUUCCAGAGGCUCCAUGACAGCCCAAGGGACUGACUCCAGGAGCGGAGACGAGAGUCCAGCUGUUCAGCCAUGCGCGAGAGGGGCCUGCUGACACGGGGACAGCGCCUUCUUUCCAC
RNAcentral lists this long non-coding RNA (33775 nucleotides) under Marmota monax (woodchuck). The record is from RNAcentral. Lineage: Eukaryota; Metazoa; Chordata; Mammalia; Rodentia; Sciuridae.